CAAAGAGUAGUUUAUAUAAAAUAGUAAUUUUGGAGAUUACAGAUAGAAGAAAUUUCUUUCUUUGA
Molecule: transfer RNA, 65 nt
Filed under: Cricula trifenestrata
Lineage: Eukaryota; Metazoa; Arthropoda; Insecta; Lepidoptera; Saturniidae
Description: tRNA-Pro
Source: RNAcentral